Long non-coding RNA from Passer domesticus (house sparrow), 3782 nucleotides. RefSeq lists it as uncharacterized. The transcript is spliced from 3 exons. The record is from RefSeq and is a predicted model, not a curated record. Lineage: Eukaryota; Metazoa; Chordata; Aves; Passeriformes; Passeridae.
CAGCCUAUUUAUCUCAUUCAGGCUGCGUGAGUGCAUGCUGCUGCCUUGGCCACACAUCCCUGGCCACCCUGUCUGCCCCCUGGUGACAUUUUCAUCUUCUUGUGGUGUGAGAUGAGAGCUGUGUGUGCUCUUCAUGGAGCGCCACCAGCAAUAACACAAGGCAAAGGGUCCUGAAAGAGCCAUAAGAUGGACCAAAACCUCUUGCUUGGAUACAGAAGAAAGACAAAUUCAGUGCAGGUGUCAGUUAGGAAGAGCCUAAGAGCAAAAUUUGAAAGCCAGCAGUAUGAGAUUCCCAACAACCCUCAUAAAAAUAAACCCAAAUCAUCAAAAAUCCCACGAGAUUCCUGCUGCUUUGGAUCUGGCAGCUACAGAGCUGCAGUUGGCAGGAAAGACUACAACAUGCUUCUGCAGGAGUCCAACGUAGCCUUGCAAUUAAAUUCAAGUUGCUUUCAUGAAGAAUGACAGCCCAGUGAUUGGGAAGAAACCUGCAAAAACAAUGCCUAAGACUGUCAAAGCAAUCAAAUAACAUCUGUUAACGUCUGCUCAGGAACAGAACUUCUGGCAUCUCCCAAAACCUCCUUCAUCUCAACAAACACACAAUAAACCUGCAUGAUGAAGACGCAGCUUUCAUGAAUCCAGUGAAAAACCAUGGCUUCCCAAAUCCCAAAUUGUUGUUUCACAGAAAUGUUUGUCACAUCCCAGUGGCUGGGUACAAACCCUGCCUUUUGGCUACCCUAGGGCUCCCAGAUGAGGCAGCCCAAAGGGGAGCCUGAAACCCCAAACAUCUGAGCCAUAAAUUUAGCUCUUUUUAAGGGAUGGGAAGUUCCCAUAAGUCUUUCAUGAUGCUCAGCCAGCACAAGGGAGGACCUGAAAGGUUCCAAACAAGGAAAACUGAAAGGUUUCAAAUGACCUGAAAGGUUCCAAAUGAGGGCUUUGGAACAUCAGGAUGCCCCUUGGCUUUACAGUGAUUUUUCAAGGCAGUUUCUGUCCAUCUGUGUUUUCCACAUUGACCAGAUGGGCCCAAAAGAAGCUCCCUGGCAGCUGCUGUGGUUGUGACCAGCUCUUGCAAAAGAGCUCCUGCCAUCACUGUCUGGCCUCUCCCAUCACUGGGAGAGCUCAACCAGGGGCUUCUGUACCAAGUUUAGCUUUGUGCAUCAGGCUGGUGGAUCAGGAACCCACCCUGAAGGCUCCAAGUGGAAGGGACAUUACUGAUGCUGGUCCUUUCAAAGUAAAAUUCCUGCUCAAGUCAAGUUUCUGCUUCUCAGCUUCAGCAAGGCUCCAUCACCCUGUCAGGACAUCAGUCCUGCCAAAAGUGCCUUUCCUGGCCACAAGUCACCCAAUGGCUGAUACAGCUGCACAAUCCUCUGCCACUUUUCACUGUCUCUCAAUCAAAAGCCUUUGAGGUAACAACCUGUGGUUUUUUUCUGUCUGAUUAUUCUUCAUUGGGAUGCUUAUAAGUGAAGUGCCAUGCAGAGACAGUGGCCAUGGCCCAUAAAUUUAAUUACUAACCUUUAAUUCAUGGGUGGCAGAAACAGUUCUUCAAGCAUCUGAGUUAAUCAGGCUUUGCCGACAGUGGCAAUCAAUUGUUCAGCAGCUUGCUUUUUGCUUAAUUACUGUUGGACUACAUUGCAUUUUCAAAAUGUCAAGAAUCCUCUUUUAGAAAAGCAAUAAAUCAUUUCCAUGUGGUGUGCCAGGCUGGGGUAGGAGACUAUUAUUCUCUCACACCUGACCUUGGUUACAAGGAACAGAAAUUGAUCAUUUACUGUACCAGUGAAAUAUCAUUUAAAGAAAAGUGAGUAUUAACUAAGAACUUCAGCUCACUAAAAGGAAAGAGAGUUACUUUCUGGCCAAGGAAGAUGCUGGCAGGGGGAUGUGGCUCCAUUAAAACUCCUCUGUUAAUGAGGCACCAUCUACUCUGGGAAUCCAUAUCAGAGUAUCAAUUUCAGCAGGAAUCCACAAAGCUUGUGCCCAGGUUUUCAGGCAGAGACACUCUGAUUCCUGCUCUUCUGGCAUGAGGCCAGGAUAUUUACAUGUCAACCAAAGAGUUAUCCACCCCUCUAACUUUCAGAAAGGAUGUUCCAGUGAAGGCAACUUAGCCAGUUCGAACUUGUUGAAGACAAAAAACUUGGCUGUUGGGGAUUGCAUUAAUUAGAAAGAUUAAGGCACUUCCCAGAACACAUCUCUGGGGCCCACCAGCCCCACCUGGAGCAUCUCACUGCUGCACCCAUGAACUCUGGGUGUGGGUGGAGAGACCAGGAGCUGUGGCCUUCACAAGCAAGGGCCUGAGACAGGCAGGGAAGAGGAAACUUUCCAGAGCACAGCUCUGCUCCAGCUCCUCAGCUGGCCCUGAUUCUGCCCUAAAGGACUGUGCCAAGGCUCUGUCCAUUCCCUUUGGUCUCCAUCUGUAAGAAGCAGUGAGAAAUUUUUAAUUGUGUGUAUUUACAUCAAAUGACACAGAAGAAACCUGCUCCCCACUCAGUCCCCUGAGACCAGUGGGGUAGAAGUAAUGAAUGACUCCUUCCUGCCUGAGAAAUGGGAGGUGUUUUCAGCAGCAGCAGUGUGCUCAAGUAUGUUGAGAGCAGGACAUGGGUUGUGGCUGGUGUCAGCCAGGAUGAGAUGAAGAUAAAAGACAUCCUCUGAGAAUGCUGCCAGAAAUAAGAAGGAAGAGGCUGUGUGGAAUCAUAUGGAUCAAAUUUCCUUUCUCAUUGUGUUUAAUAGAAAAGCUUUUCACCUCCCAAGGGUACCAAUGAAAAUUUUCUUCAAGCCAGAGAAAGCAGAGCUGAUUAGAGCCAGGAGCUAACAGCAAACAAACUGUGACCAAGGAAUGAAAAUGAAGCAAUAAAAUGUUCAACACUUGCAAGACAAUAAAAAACAUUUCUUAGUGGAAAUAAUAAAAGGAAGAAAGACACAAAAGAAGUUUCUAGCCUAAACUAACAUUGCUGUUUUCCUAAUUCAAAACAGAUUUAACUUUUCUCCCCAUUUUCGCCGGGAGUGUGACAGUGCCAUCACCUGUUGGUGGAGGUGUGGUGCUCUGGUGGCAGCAGAGUGUGACAGGUUGUGAAGGAGCUUCCCAGGCUCAGUGUGCCACAGGUUUGGAGGGAUCCUUGCCACCAGAGUGAGGACAUGAGGCAGCACCAAGAGAGAACAUCCCUGCAGAACCACCACACAUUAUCUGUGUUUUUCCUGUGAUCCCCAUUCCAGACCUUCCUGUGAUUCCAGGGGAAAUUCCCAGUGUCUGAUGGGCUUUCCUCUGUGUCUCACCUCUCCACAGUGUCCCAGUUUCUCCUCAUCACUGGCCACCAGCAAAGCAGCUCCUCCAGGGAGAAGGGCAACCAUGGCCACCCAUGCCCGGGGGGUGGCAGAAAUUCGGGAUCAUGUCCACCUGUCGGUGUCAGCCCAGAGCUUUGUUUUUCUCCUUAUUUAACAUUCCCAGCUUUGUCCAAAAGGCAGCAGCACUAGAGGGCACUGCCUGCACGUGUGAGAGAGGGGGACACAUCUCCAGCCAUCUCCCAGGACACCCAAUUUUGGCUGAUUGCUGGCACCUUCCCUUCUCACCUGUGCCCUUUCUCUGGGGAAAAACACGGAGCCAGCUGAGGCCAUUCAUUUUCCUGGCUGCAGAUGAGGUUGGCAGCACAAGGUGAUGUACAGGAUCACUCCCAACAAACAGAUUUGGGAAAGGCAAAGUGAGACGUUAUCAGGCAAGCUUGUUCCAGGCCCAAAGCAGGCAGUGGAACAGCUGCACACUCGUUUAGGCCAAAAGAUAAAGUCAUGUGUCCAGGAGC